RNAcentral lists this ribosomal RNA (458 nucleotides) under uncultured Thiobacillus sp. RNAcentral's name for it is "bacterial SSU rRNA". It matches the Rfam family "Bacterial small subunit ribosomal RNA", at positions 919 to 1382 of the family's 1533-position model. Lineage: Bacteria; Pseudomonadati; Pseudomonadota; Betaproteobacteria; Nitrosomonadales; Thiobacillaceae. The record is from RNAcentral.
ACCCGCACAAGCGGUGGAUGAUGUGGAUUAAUUCGAUGCAACGCGAAGAACCUUACUACCCUUGACAUGUCCGGAACUUGCCAGAGAUGGCUUGGUGCCCGAAAGGGAAUCGGAACACAGGUGCUGCAUGGCUGUCGUCAGCUCGUGUCGUGAGAUGUUGGGUUAAGUCCCGCAACGAGCGCAACCCUUAUCAUUAGUUGCUACGCAAGGGCACUCUAAUGAGACUGCCGGUGACAAACCGGAGGAAGGUGGGGAUGACGUCAAGUCCUCAUGGCCCUUAUGGGUAGGGCUUCACACGUCAUACAAUGGUCGGUACAGAGGGUUGCCAAGCCGCGAGGCGGAGCCAAUCCCACAAAGCCGAUCGUAGUCCGGAUUGUUCUCUGCAACUCGAGAGCAUGAAGUCGGAAUCGCUAGUAAUCGCAGGUCAGCAUACUGCGGUGAAUACGUUCCCGGGCCUU